UACAGAGGGUGCAAGCGUUAAUCGGAAUUACUGGGCGUAAAGCGCGCGUAGGCGGUUUGUUAAGUCGGAUGUGAAAUCCCCGGGCUCAACCUGGGCACGGCAUCCGAUACUGGCUGACUAGAGUGUGGGAGAGGAAGGUAGAAUUCCAGGUGUAGCGGUGAAAUGCGUAGAGAUCUGGAGGAAUACCGAUGGCGAAGGCAGCCUUCUGGCCUAACACUGACGCUGAGGUGCGAAAGCAUGGGGAGCAAACAGG
RNAcentral lists this ribosomal RNA (253 nucleotides) under uncultured bacterium. RNAcentral describes it as "partial 16S ribosomal RNA". It matches the Rfam family "Bacterial small subunit ribosomal RNA", at positions 524 to 776 of the family's 1533-position model. The record is from RNAcentral.